This 736-nucleotide long non-coding RNA is filed under the name Homo sapiens (human). RNAcentral describes it as "long intergenic non-protein coding RNA 511". Lineage: Eukaryota; Metazoa; Chordata; Mammalia; Primates; Hominidae. The record is from RNAcentral.
UCCUCUCCCUUCCUCACCACUGAUCCCAGCCACCUUGGGCGGCUGGGGAGCGAGGCUGACCGCUAAGUGGACCUGACCUUCAGAAUGAGGGCUUUCUGAGGCAAGGGCAGGGAGGGGUGUGGCUCGUGGAAGACAGAGAGAAGGGUUGGGGUAGGGACCCAGGGAUAGAUCUCUAGAAGGGUCUGGAUUCCCUAGGGGCCUGCGAUGAAACUUGCACUCUGUGGAAUAGUUCCAGGGUUGAGGAGGUAUUUUUCCCUCUCCACCCUGGUCUUCUCCUGUAACGUGUGGCCGCCUUUUCCAGCACGGCCUCCUGCCUUCCUGGUGCACUUUUUGGAGAACGUGGUGGAAUCAGAGGUUUCUGGCUGACUCGGUGGGUGCUUUGAACCAGGAAAGGACAAGAAAGAGACCCAUGCAGGAGACCUCUCCAGGUACACAUAUUUCCUGCUACUGAAUGGCUUAGACUGGGAUUUGCAAGGAACUACGAAGUCCAAGACCUUUGCCUUUCUUUUAGAAGAAGGCACCAGCUGGUUCUCCAAUGUUGAAGGUCUUCUCCAGAGAUGAACUCUGAAAGCCACAUGUUGAGAUGGCCCCAUUACAGGAUGGAGAGCACCUGAACCCCCAAGUUAUGGACUAGAAGAAGACAGUUGCCCUGGAAAAUCAUCUGACCCACAUUGGACUUUAUGUGAGGGGGAAAUAAACCUUUAUUAUGUUAAGCUACACAAUAAUAAAUAACAAC